UAGUCCAUGCUGUAAACGAUGAAUGUUAAUUAUAUGAUAUUUUUAUGUAAUUAAGUUAACACGUUAAACAUUCCGCCUGGGGAGUACGGCCGCAAGGUUAAAACUCAAAUGAAUUGACGGAAAUCCGCACAAGCGGUGGAGCAUGUGGUUUAAUGCGAUACAACGCGCAAAACCUUACCAGUUCUUGAAUAUAAAAUUUUUAAACAUUAUUAGUUUAAAAACGGAAAUAUUUGUUAGGUUAUAAAUAUUUUCAUUUUAUACAGGUGCUGCAUGGCUGUCGUCAGCUCGUGUUGUGAGAUGUUUGGUUAAUUCCUUUAACGAGCGCAACCCUUAUUUUUAAUUUAAUUUCAAUUAGAAAGAAAGUCCAUGAAAUAUGGAAGGAAGGAGAGGAUGACGUCAAGCCCUUAUGGCCUUUAUGGGCUGGGCUACACACGUGCUACAAUGGUAAUUACAAAAUGUUGCAAUAAAGUGAUUUAAAGCUAAUCAUUAAAAAUUAUCGUAGUUCGGAUUGUUCUCUGCAAUUCGAGAACAUGAAGUAGGAAUCGCU
This 547-nucleotide ribosomal RNA is filed under the name uncultured bacterium. RNAcentral's name for it is "bacterial SSU rRNA". It matches the Rfam family "Bacterial small subunit ribosomal RNA", at positions 791 to 1336 of the family's 1533-position model. The record is from RNAcentral.